UUGGGUUCAUUGAGGUUAGCUAAUUUGACUUGUUUUGGAAAGUCUUGACAAGCCGAAUUUUCUUGUUCUAUUGGCAGAUAAUUUUGCUUAGUUCAAAUAAAAUACCCCUAAUUCUUUGUAUUUUUUUUUUCUUGUUUUUGAACACUGACUUUUUGCAGUGUAGGAAUCGCGCUGAUAUCGUAUCGGCUUGACAUCGUCAUCAGGCUCCAAUAUCGGUACUGCAGUGGUCAUCAACCUUCAGUGUUUCCUCCAGAGGAUGGGCGUGGCCCUGCAGGGCAGAGAAGCUGAAGGCAGCCAUUGAUCAUCUUUGGACACGGCCACAAAAUCAAAGUCUAACAGUGCGGUCGUGACACAGGCGGUGCAUUAGAGCAGUGGUUCUCAAAUGGGGGUACGCGUACCACUGGGGGUACUUGAAGGUAUGCCAAGGG
Entelurus aequoreus (snake pipefish) is the source of this 428-nucleotide long non-coding RNA. RefSeq lists it as uncharacterized. The record is from RefSeq and is a predicted model, not a curated record. The transcript is spliced from 3 exons. NCBI's taxonomy places the organism in Eukaryota, Metazoa, Chordata, Actinopteri, Syngnathiformes, Syngnathidae.